CAAUAGAAAAACGUCUGAGGGCUUAAAAACACUCAGAGGAUGAAGAGAUGGCCCUCAGUCUAAACAGUGGAUGACGUAUUGCUGAAGGCAUCUCUGGAGGAAGAUAUUCUGACCCAACCAAACCCCAGCACACAAGGGCCUACAUAAGAGGUUAGUUAUUCAAAUUCAUGAUAUAUUUACAUUCAUCCUUUUACCUCAGUUACGCCCACACAUCCAUCUUAGACACAACUUUGCACAUUGAUUUUAUUGUAUCGGUACAAUUAUUUGUAAUUAACUGCUGUUACUUUUUCAGAUUCUUAGUUGUCCUUCAGACAUAAUCUAUUUUAAGGUGACUCAGAGUUAUAUAUUUGAGAAAUUGUAGUGUGGCCUGCACACAGUUGUAAAAUAAAAAUGAGGUGGGGCACUUUUCUGGGUAAAGUUAUAAUUGAACUGUCUAAUCUUCUACCAGUUACUGACGGUGUAAUCUGUCUGGUGGAGGCUUCUGCCAUAACUGACCUCCAUGCAGUUGAAAUACUCAGCAGAUUUUUCAUAACGGGUUAGAGUAGAACACCAAAAUUGUUCAUUUUCAUUACAGGAGGAUGAAGACAGCUUGUCAGCUGCCACAGAGAGGGAUGAUACAGAGAGGCCUAUAGAGGUUUACACCUUAAAAAUAACAUCUAACAGUUGAUGAUAGUGUUGUACCAUAAUAAAACUUCCACCUUUUUCUCUAACAGAGCAAUGAAAUUACAAUGAGGGUCCAUCCACCUCCACAGCACAACUUGUUCAGCAUUGUUUUUUUGCCCUUUAUUUAACCAGGCAAGUCAGUUAAGAACAAAUUCUUAUUUACAAUGACGGCCUAGAAACAGUGGGUUAACGGCCUUGUUCAGGGGCAGAACGGUAGAUUGUUACCUUGUCAGCUCAGGGAUUCGAUCGAGUAACAUUUUGGUUACUGGCCUAACGCUCUAACCACUAUGCUACCUGCUGCCCCAAAAUAUGAGCAUUGGCCCAUGACUUGCAAUGAAACGAAGUAGACCUGGCACUGUGAAAUUCAAUGCCAUUUUUUUGUGUCCCUAUAGCUCCCUGUGGAACAGCUGUACAGGUUGUACUUAGAGAAACAAAUGGAAGAAUGUAAUUUAGAAACUGACCACAUAAGGCUACAGAUGCAAAAGAUAAAAAUAGAAAUACAACUGCUGGAACAUCAGUUGAAGGUGGUGAGGUGCCCACAGGUAGAACACCAGUUAAAGGUGGUGAGGUGCCCACAGGUAGAGCAUCAGUUGAAGGUGGUGAGGUGCCCACAGGUAGAGCAUCAGUUAAAGGUGGUGAGGUGCCCACAGGUAGAACACCAGUUAAAGGUGGUGAGGCGCCCACAGGUAGAACACCAGUUAAAGGUGGUGAGGUGCCCACAGGUAGAACACCAGUUAAAGGUGGAUGAGGUGCCCACAGGUAGAACACCAGUUAAAGGUGGAUGAGGUGCCCACAGGUAGAACACCAGUUAAAGGUGGAUGAGGUGCCCACAGGUAGAACACCAGUUAAAGGUGGAUGAGGUGCCCACAGGUAGAACACCAGUUAAAGGUGGAUGAGGUGCCCACAGGUAGAACACCAGUUAAAGGUGGAUGAGGUGCCCACAGGUAGAACACCAGUUAAAGGUGGAUGAGGUGCCCACAGGUAGAACACCAGUUAAAGGUGGAUGAGGUGCCCACAGGUAGAACACCAGUUAAAGGUGGAUGAGGUGCCCACAGGUAGAACACCAGUUAAAGGUGGAUGAGGUGCCCACAGGUAGAACACCAGUUAAAGGUGGAUGAGGUGCCCACAGGUAGAAUAUCAGUUAAAGGUGGAUGAGGUGCCCACAGGUAGAACAUCAGUUAAAGGUGUCCACAGGUAGAACAUCAGUUAAAGGUGGAUGAGGUGUCCACAGGUGGAUGAUUUUACUUGUUUGA
Oncorhynchus keta (chum salmon) is the source of this 1916-nucleotide long non-coding RNA. RefSeq lists it as uncharacterized. The record is from RefSeq and is a predicted model, not a curated record. The transcript is spliced from 3 exons. NCBI's taxonomy places the organism in Eukaryota, Metazoa, Chordata, Actinopteri, Salmoniformes, Salmonidae.